GACGAACGCUGGCGGCGUGCUUAACACAUGCAAGUCGAACGGUGAAGCGUCUUCCUUUUUGGUGGGUGUGGAUGAGUGGCGAACGGGUGAGUAACACGUGAGUAACCUGCCCCCUUCUUCUGGAUAACCGCAUGAAAGUGUGGCUAAUACGGGAUAUUCUGGGUCUGUCGCAUGAUGGGUCUGGGAAAGAUAUUGUUUCGGUGGGGGAUGGGCUCGCGGCCUAUCAGCUUGUUGGUGGGGUGAUGGCCUACCAAGGCGGUGACGGGUAGCCGGCCUGAGAGGGUGGACGGUCACACUGGGACUGAGACACGGCCCAGACUCCGACGGGAGGCAGCAGUGGGGAAUAGUGCACAAUGGGCGCAAGCCUGAUGCAGCGACGCCGCGUGAGGGAUGGAGGCCUUCGGGUUGUGAACCUCUUUCGCCAGUGAAGCAGGCCUGCCUCGUUUGUGGGUGGGUUGACGGUAGCUGGAUAAGAAGCGCCGGCUAACUACGUG
RNAcentral lists this ribosomal RNA (494 nucleotides) under uncultured bacterium. RNAcentral describes it as "partial 16S ribosomal RNA". It matches the Rfam family "Bacterial small subunit ribosomal RNA", at positions 28 to 507 of the family's 1533-position model. The record is from RNAcentral.